CCCUUAGAUGUUCUGGGCUGCACGCGCGCUACACUGAUGCGCUCAACGAGUUUAUGACCUUGCCCGGAAGGGUUGGGUAAUCUUCUUAAAACGCAUCGUGAUGGGGAUAGAUUAUUGCAAUUAUUAAUCUUCAACGAGGAAUUCCUAGUAAGCGCGAGUCAUCAGCUCGUGCUGAUUACGUCCCUGCCCUUUGUACACACCGCCCGUCGCUCCUACCGAUUGGGUGUGCUGGUGAAAUGUUCGGAUCGGCCGUUUGUCGCGGUUUCCGCGUCAUGUGGCUGAGAAGUUCAUUAAACCCUCCCACCUAGAGGAAGGAGAAGUCGUAACA
Molecule: ribosomal RNA, 328 nt
Filed under: uncultured eukaryote
Lineage: Eukaryota
Description: partial 18S ribosomal RNA
Rfam family: Eukaryotic small subunit ribosomal RNA
Source: RNAcentral